This 69-nucleotide transfer RNA is filed under the name Fukomys damarensis (Damara mole-rat). It matches the Rfam family "tRNA". Rfam says of the family: Transfer RNA (tRNA) molecules are approximately 80 nucleotides in length. Their secondary structure includes four short double-helical elements and three loops (D, anti-codon, and T loops). Further hydrogen bonds mediate the characteristic L-shaped molecular structure. tRNAs have two regions of fundamental functional importance: the anti-codon, which is responsible for specific mRNA codon recognition, and the 3' end, to which the tRNAs corresponding amino acid is attached (by aminoacyl-tRNA synthetases). tRNAs cope with the degeneracy of the genetic code in two manners: having more than one tRNA (with a specific anti-codon) for a particular amino acid; and 'wobble' base-pairing, i.e. permitting non-standard base-pairing at the 3rd anti-codon position. Lineage: Eukaryota; Metazoa; Chordata; Mammalia; Rodentia; Bathyergidae. The record is from Rfam by way of RNAcentral.
GGUCAUGAAGCUCAAUGGUAGAGCACUUGCUUAGAAAGUAUGAGGCCCUGGGCUUGAUACCCAGCACCA